Molecule: long non-coding RNA, 1238 nt
Organism: Gallus gallus (chicken)
Lineage: Eukaryota; Metazoa; Chordata; Aves; Galliformes; Phasianidae
Source: Ensembl
CCCUGAUGCUACUGCUGCUCAGCUUAUAAACCUCUGAGACCAAUGGAGCCUUUAAAAGUUCACAAGAUGCCAUCAGACUUUGAUUUCCACCUGUAUGAAUAUACACAAUGACAAAGCUACACCAGAGCCCCUCCAGAAGUGCUCAGAGCUGGGAACAGCAAACCAAGAGAAAUUCCAGCAAAGGGGCGGUGACUGAUGCUGCAGAUAGCAGUUAUCAGAGGAGCCCAUAAAUCCACCCAACCUAAACACAGUGUCAGGCAGCAGCCCUUCUGCUUUGGAUGUCGCCUCCGGGGAUGCACAGCUGCUUGUUCUGAUCAACAGUUUCCAUUCUGUCUUUCAGGUUCCCAGAAGACACUGUUUCCUGGGAAAUGUCUUUGUGGUGCUGGUUGAGUGCCUGCACGGCCUCAGGGAGAAGGAGCAGAGCUUGACACUGUCCUGAUGCACAGCUUCAAACUGCCGUUAGGCUGCCAUGGGAUGGCUGGGAAAUGUGUAAAUGGGUAAAACAACGUGUAUUGGUGAAACCAGCUUGCUGGCAUUACAGAGCUUGUUUAAUCGUGGAGUCACAGAAUGGCCUGGGAUGAAAGGGACCUCAAAGAUCAUCUAGUUCCAACCCCCUGGAAAGUCUGCAUUAAGAAAUAGUACCAGCUUCUCUCCUGGGGCUUGUAAUUGUCACUUACCAGCACCGUGAUCUUUAACACAACGACUCUCUAGUGGCAUCACUGUGGUUGCAGUCACCCCAAUCCUCUGCAGACGGAGAUUACUUGAGGUGAGAUGGAGAGGGACAGAGGGAUGAAAAGCAGGGAAGCCACAAGCCUGGAGCUGAUGCCACCGCAGAGAUGUGCUGAGUGUCAGGAGUGAGUCUGCUAUCCCCUACACCUGGGCUGCUCUGCAGAUGAGCUGUGCUACUCUACACUGCAAAUCUGGGUUUGGCUGGAGGCUGCUUCGGAUGAACAUUUGGGAUUUUGCCAUAACAAGACCUGUAAAUCCAACUGAAAUUGCACAGCGUGUGUGUGCUCCAGGAACAAAAACCUCCACCAUGGUGCACUGAGCUGCCUUCUCUCCCCUAAAAUGGAUGGAUCCAUUUCGGUUCUGGCCCAGUGCCAUUUCAGUUGGCUUUCCAUCAUUACUGCUCACAUCGGGAGCUGCUGCCUUAAACCAACAUGAGUUGGAUGCCCCUCUUGACAAUUCCUAAGGCUCACCUGUUCUAGCAGCGCUGUACAGAAAUAGCUGUGCUCCUG